UUAAGCCUCACGCGACGUUUUACUAGCGCUUUCAGAAGAAAAAACUUUACUGGGCUUACUUUAGCCUUAAACCCUAAAAUUGCAAGAGCAGUAGGGUAUAAAUAGCCUCCAUUUUGAUCCCGCCGGUGCUACAGAGACUCUUCAGUUACUAGCUCUAACUGAGUCGCCAAGAGGAUCCGAUACAAUAUGCUUGAGGAAUUCCCUCUGUGAAUCGAAUCGUUCAGGUUUCCUUCACCUUAUCCGAUUCAAAAAUGGGAGUAACAGGACAGAAUUCAAGGAAUAAAUAAAUGGAUGCUGACCUCUUCAAGGAGGAAGUGGAAGAUUGGGGUAGAGAUAGAGAUGUGUGUCAGAGGCCAGGAAGGUAGGAUGCAGGUGCCGGGUGGAGGAGAGGUAAUGCUUGAUCGACUGGAAGGUGGAGAGAGUAGUAAAGCAAAGACUUAGGGUUUGAGUUAGGACUAUUUGGGUGUUGACAUUGAGGCCUGUGAGGUUGAGAAGCUUUGCAAAAGAGGACAGUUUUUUUGGACAAUAGAGAGAGAGACAGUGACAUGUGGUGUCUUUCUCACUGUGCCAACUUCCUUAUAGUGCGGGCUGCAGUGGGUUCAGAAAAAGAAAAGGUUGGAGCUUGGGGGCCAAUAUACUUUUAUCUAAACAGUUCAUGUGCAUAUUUAUAUAUAAUAUAUGUCAGAUUCCUCUCUGUUUGUAUUUAUAGCUUUCAAGUACUUUACAAUAAGGUUAUAUUCAUUUUUAGUUGCAUUGCCUUGACUUUGGACAACUGCUGAAACUUAUGCAUAUGUGUGUUUGUGUGUGUGUGUGUGUGUGUGUGUGUGUGUGUGUGCAUACUGUUAACAUUCCUUGUUCAGUUAUAAAGUUUGUUUUGUCAAGUGUAUUUCAAAAUGGUUAACAAAGAAAGUAAUAUGAUCCAUUUGGCUUGUGAUGAGCAUGGGCUUUCUUAAUUUGUCAGAUCUGGGUAACUUAGACUUUGUGAAUUUUUUCUGUUGGUUAUGUAUUUUGUGGUGCAGUUUUCUUUCAGAUCCAUGAAGCUUGACAAUUAGAUACAAAUAAUGCACAAUUUAUACAGCUUGAUGUUUUGUUGGCAUUCUUAGAUUGGAUUUGAAAUGCUGAAAUUGUAUAAGCUUUAUGAGAAAGAUUGGUUGAGAAUGGAAGAAUAAUUUUGAUUGGAGCUUAAUGGGUCCAGGGACUGUUGGUAAUCCAAGCAAGAAUAAUGGCAUAGUGGACCUAGUUUCUUUUGCCCUUGAUGAUUCAGAGAUAUUUCAUUUGUUUAGAUAUUGCUUCUCUGAAGCUUGCCUAUCAGCUGGGCAUAAGACAAAUAGCAAAAUUAGGUUAGUACUAGUAUUUAGGAUUAUUGAAAGCUGAAGGUGGAAUACUUUGGGCUGUUUGCAUUGCAAGUUUUUGUAGUGUUAACAAUAAUAGUUGAAAUUUUAGGUUAUUUUGGUGUUAAUUGGGGUAAAUAAUUGGAAUUUGCAAAGUUUCCUUGCAGAAGGAAAAACAGUCAAAGUUCCAUAACUAAAUUCUUUAGGCAUCACACCUAUGUUCAGAAUGAUAUCAUACAACCCCAUAGAAAAACUGACAUUGCAAAAUUCUCUGACGGCAGCUCUCUCUAAUUAAAAGAUAUGCAUACCUUGACUUACAGCAUCAAUGGAAAGAAAAAGAAAAAUUGGAGGGGUGGGAGGGGUUGGGUGGGUUCCUUUUCUUGUUUAUGAUUCUUUCUCAAUUUUACUAAGAUCUCUAUAUGGAGGGCAACUGCAACUUGAGAUUGUAGGAAUGAGGUAAGGGCAGCUGUAUAAUGUAAGUUUCAACCAUGUUAUCAGAACAAAUUGUCCCCAUAUUUUGAUCUUUUUGGGUUGAUGAAUUUUAGUAAAAGAUUUGCAAGUCUCUACAUUGAUUUUAUUGCACUUCUAACUUCUAAUGUUACCUUUUCGUGUUUAGGAUUUUGAUAACCCUAAUCUUAUCAUAAAUGUCAUAAACAAGUGACAAUAAUUGGUCUUUCACGUGCAAUUGGAAACUUAGUUUGGUUGUUGUUUUCUAUCUUGACUAGAGAACAAACAUAAUCAUGGAGUUUAGGUGAGGGUCCAAUAAGUUAAAAUAUGUGUGGAAAAAAAAAUAUUACAUAUAUAUAUGUCAGAAAUUUCCAUGGCCAUGAAAUGAAAACAUUAUUCUUGGAAUAAUUCCGUUAUUUCCUCUCCUUUUCUGUACUGUAUCCUUCACUUUUUAUUGAGUUUUAUGGAAAUUAGGGUUGUGUAAUUUCGGUUUUGGUUCGGUUCUUUGUAAGAAUCAGAACAUUCGAACCGAAACUAAACUUUGGUUCUUUCAUUCUUUGGAAUCAAAAGAGGAACCAAAUUUCGGUUCCGGUUCCAGUUUCGGUUCGGUUCUAAGUACUUUCGGUUCCAAUUAGGUUUUAGUUUCGAUUCUAUUUUCAGUUUUAGUUUUGAUUUUGAUUCGAUUCAGUUAUUGGUUCCUACACUUAAAAUUGUAAUAUUAUUGUAUUCCUUUUAAAAGAAUAAAAACAAUUAUAUAUUUCUAAUAUGAAAAUAUUAAAAUAAAAUGUCAAUAAAUUAACAUAAACAUAAUAACUUAUUCAAGAGAAAUAUUAAAAUUGAACUAAUAAUUCUCACAUAAAAAUAUAAGAUAAUACUAAAUAUCCAUAAUGUUGGCACUAAGUGUGGAUAGCUUAGUGGGUCAACAUUUUGUCCAGGUCCCUUUGACUUAUGGUGCUUAGAUUGUUAUGUCAUAAGAUGUUAGAGUUGUGCUAUUGCUAAAAGUAUAAACUUUUGGCACGGUGUUAAUUGCUUGAUUCUACAAUUGAAAUUACAUCCAAUGUAAUGGGUUUAAAUCCCUUAUAGGUUCUGGGGGUGGACUAUUGGCAUUGAAUGAGAAUAGCUCAGUGAGCUAGCAUUUUACUCAAAUCCAUUCAAUCCAUAGCGUUUGGGCUGCUAUGCUAUAAUGGGUUAGAGUUGCGUCCUGCUAAAAGUUUAAUUUUUUGUAUGGUGGUAAGUGUUCGAUGCUAUACAUAAUAAGUCAUAUAAUAUAUUCAUCCAAAUUAUUAAAUAACAGCAAAUCAAUAGGUAUAAUAUGAAUUAGGACCAAUGUAACCUAAAUCAAGAGUACAAAAUUAUGUAAUUUUUGACUUUAGAGAAAUUUUUUAUUAUAUUUUCAUUUAACUAUUUAAAGUUUAAAUUUUGUUGGACAAUAUAUAAUUUUUACUAAUUUAAAUUUUAAUUCAAAAUAAUAAGUAUUAAAAAUAAAUUUAAUUUUAAUAUAGUAAAUGUUGUUUAUAAAAAUUUGGUAAAUUAUAAUUAAAUUUUUUUAAAAUUAAAAAUAAGAUAAUUAAUGUGAUCUUAAAUUUAGUGAAUUUAAUUAUUAACGCUGACUUUUAAAUAUUGUUUUGGCUCAUACUCUCUACUAUGAUCAUAUAGGCAUAAAAUAUUUUAUUUGAAUCGCAUCGUUGAUAUCUUGAGUUGGUCAUAAUUCAAUCUCAUUAAAUAUUACGUACAUAAAUUAAGUCACUUAAUAAAAUAUAUUUUAAUAAAUAUAUUAUUCUAUUAUCUUAUACAUACUUUUCAUUUAUAUAAUUUUUAACAAAAAAGUAUGCUACAUUUUAAAAAGAUGAUUUAAUAAGAUAAUUAACAACUAUGAAGUGAUUUAAUGUAUUUAUAAUUAAAAUAAUAAAAGUUAAUAUUGGGUGGCAUUUAUAUACUUAUAAUUAAUAACAUAAGUUAUAUAUAAAAUCAUCUUAAUUACAUAUAAUGUAUAUAAUUUUAUUGAAACUAUGUAAUAUAUCUAAUAUAUAUAUAUAUAUAUAUAUAUAUAUAUAUAUAUAUAUAUAUAUA
Molecule: long non-coding RNA, 3848 nt
Organism: Hevea brasiliensis (rubber tree)
Lineage: Eukaryota; Viridiplantae; Streptophyta; Magnoliopsida; Malpighiales; Euphorbiaceae
Exons: 2
Source: RefSeq, a predicted model, not a curated record